UACGUAGGUGGCAAGCGUUAUCCGGAUUUACUGGGUGUAAAGGGCGUGUAGGCGGGGAAGCAAGUCAGAUGUGAAAUUCCAGGGCUCAACCCUGGAACUGCAUUUGAAACUGUUUUUCUUGAGUGAUGGAGAGGCAGGCGGAAUUCCGUGUGUAGCGGUGAAAUGCGUAGAUAUACGGAGGAACACCAGUGGCGAAGGCGGCCUGCUGGACAUUAACUGACGCUGAGGCGCGAAAGCGUGGGGAGCAAACA
This 251-nucleotide ribosomal RNA is filed under the name uncultured bacterium. RNAcentral's name for it is "partial 16S ribosomal RNA". It matches the Rfam family "Bacterial small subunit ribosomal RNA", at positions 524 to 774 of the family's 1533-position model. The record is from RNAcentral.